AAAAUUGGCGGUAUUUAAAACUAAUUAGGGGAAUUUGUUUUUUAAAUGAUAGUCCGCAAGAUACCUUACUUUAUUAAAAAAUUUAUUUAUUGUCGUUAUCAGAUUAUUUUUUAAGAAUUAAAAUUUUCUAAAAUAUUUAAUAAUAUUUAUUUCAGAUCUUUAUGUAGUUUAUAGUAAAGUAAAAAUGAAUUACAAUAAUUUAUAUUUAAAUGGAUAUUAAAAUGAAAUUUUUAAUUUAAAGUGGACUUAAUAGUAAUUAUAAAAAUUUUAUUAUUA
This 276-nucleotide ribosomal RNA is filed under the name Macrophya apicalis. Its description in RNAcentral is "partial 12S ribosomal RNA". Lineage: Eukaryota; Metazoa; Arthropoda; Insecta; Hymenoptera; Tenthredinidae. The record is from RNAcentral.